UACGUAGGGGGCAAGCGUUGUCCGGAUUCAUUGGGCGUAAAGAGCUCGUAGGCGGCUUGGCAAGUCGGGUGUGAAACCUCCAGGCUCAACCUGGAGACGCCACCCGAUACUGCCAUGGCUAGAGUCCGGUAGGGGACCACGGAAUUCCUGGUGUAGCGGUGAAAUGCGCAGAUAUCAGGAGGAACACCGGUGGCGAAGGCGGUGGUCUGGGCCGACACUGACGCUGAGGAGCGAAAGCGUGGGGAGCGAACAGG
This 254-nucleotide ribosomal RNA is filed under the name uncultured bacterium. RNAcentral describes it as "partial 16S ribosomal RNA". It matches the Rfam family "Bacterial small subunit ribosomal RNA", at positions 524 to 776 of the family's 1533-position model. The record is from RNAcentral.